UGAGGAAUAUUGGUCAAUGGGCGAGAGCCUGAACCAGCCAAGUCGCGUGAGGGAAGACGGUCCUAUGGAUUGUAAACCUCUUUUGCCGGGGAGCAAAGAGCGGCACGUGUGCCGCGCCGAGAGUACCCGGAGAAAAAGCAUCGGCUAACUCCGUGCCAGCAGCCGCGGUAAUACGGAGGAUGCGAGCGUUAUCCGGAUUUAUUGGGUUUAAAGGGUGCGCAGGCGGCGCGUUAAGUCAGCGGUAAAAUUUCGGGGCUCAACCCCGACGAGCCGUUGAAACUGGCGUGCUAGAGUGGGCGAGAAGUAUGCGGAAUGCGUGGUGUAGCGGUGAAAUGCGUAGAUAUUAGGAGGAACACCAGUGGCGAAGGCGGCUUACUGGACGGUAACUGACGUUGAGGCUCGAAAGCGUGGGGAGCAAACAGGAUUAGAUACC
Molecule: ribosomal RNA, 433 nt
Filed under: uncultured bacterium
Lineage: Bacteria
Description: bacterial SSU rRNA
Rfam family: Bacterial small subunit ribosomal RNA
Source: RNAcentral